This 506-nucleotide ribosomal RNA is filed under the name uncultured bacterium. Its description in RNAcentral is "partial 16S ribosomal RNA". It matches the Rfam family "Bacterial small subunit ribosomal RNA", at positions 29 to 523 of the family's 1533-position model. The record is from RNAcentral.
AGUGAACGCUGGCGGUAGGCCUAACACAUGCAAGUCGAACGGCAGCACAGGAGAGCUUGCUCUCUGGGUGGCGAGUGGCGGACGGGUGAGGAAUACAUCGGAAUCUACUUUUUCGUGGGGGAUAACGUAGGGAAACUUACGCUAAUACCGCAUACGACCUACGGGUGAAAGCAGGGGAUCUUCGGACCUUGCGCGAUUGAAUGAGCCGAUGUCGGAUUAGCUAGUUGGCGGGGUAAAGGCCCACCAAGGCGACGAUCCGUAGCUGGUCGGAAGGGAUGAUCAGCCACACUGGAACUGGGACACGGUCCAGACUCCUACGGGAGGCAGCAGUGGGGAAUAUUGGACAAUGGGCGCAAGCCUGAUCCAGCCAUACCGCGUGGGUGAAGAAGGCCUUCGGGUUGUAAAGCCCUUUUGUUGGGAAAGAAAUCCAGCUGGUUAAUACCCGGUUGGGACGACGGUACCCAAAGAAUAAGCACCGGCUAACUUCGUGCCAGCCGCCGCCGUAA